Molecule: ribosomal RNA, 492 nt
Filed under: uncultured bacterium
Lineage: Bacteria
Description: partial 16S ribosomal RNA
Rfam family: Bacterial small subunit ribosomal RNA
Source: RNAcentral
AGUGAACGCUGGCGGUAGGCCUAACACAUGCAAGUCGAACGGCAGCACAGUAAGAGCUUGCUCUUACGGGUGGCGAGUGGCGGACGGGUGAGGAAUACAUCGGACUCUACUUUUUCGUGGGGGAUAACGUAGGGAAACUUACGCUAAUACCGCAUACGACCUACGGGUGAAAGCAGGGGAUCUUCGGACCUUGCGCGAUUGAAUGAGCCGAUGUCGGAUUAGCUAGUUGGCGGGGUAAAGGCCCACCAAGGCGACGAUCCGUAGCUGGUCUGAGAGGAUGAUCAGCCACACGGGAACUGAGACACGGUCCAGACUCCUACGGGAGGCAGCAGUGGGGAAUAUUGGACAAUGGGCGCAAGCCUGAUCCAGCCAUACCGCGUGGGUGAAGAAGGCCUUCGGGUUGUAAAGCCCUUUUGUUGGGAAAGAAAAGCAGCAGGUUAAUACCCCGCUGUUCUGACGGUACCCAAAGAAUAAGCACCGGCUAACUUCGUG